AGCGGGGUUAGAUAAAAGUAAGAAUUCGCCGCCGUACGUUUUUUACGCUUUUCACCUGCUGCGCUACGCUCAGUUUAUACGGUGGCAAGUCUCAAAAGCGGAGCGGAAAUUCGGAAUCUGGGUUAAACACACAUCGUCAUCGUAAUCAUCAGUCUCCUUGGCCUUUCUUCAGAUUUUUUCAUUUUGUUCUUAUUUUUUAUUUUCUCUCAUUUUUCGGUUUUUUGCGCUUGUAUAAUAGUGACGUACACAAGCCCGGAUUGUCGUAGAAAUCGCGGCAGAAACUAUUCUCUUACUUUCUUUUUAUUUUUCAUCGACCACGUGACCGUGAUUUACCAUAAUCACGAU
This 345-nucleotide unclassified non-coding RNA is filed under the name Athalia rosae (coleseed sawfly). Its description in RNAcentral is "misc RNA ENSAEAG00005010056.1". Lineage: Eukaryota; Metazoa; Arthropoda; Insecta; Hymenoptera; Athaliidae. The record is from RNAcentral.